CGCGAGCGUUGUCCGGAUUUAUUGGGCGUAAAGAGCUCGUAGGCGGCUUGUCGCGUCGUCCGUGAAAACCUGUGGCUCAACUGCAGGCUUGCGGUCGAUACGGGCAGGCUAGAGUUCGGUAGGGGAGACUGGAAUUCCUGGUGUAGCGGUGAAAUGCGCAGAUAUCAGGAGGAACACCGGUGGCGAAGGCGGGUCUCUGGGCCGAUACUGACGCUGAGGAGCGAAAGCGUGGGGAGCGAACAGG
This 244-nucleotide ribosomal RNA is filed under the name uncultured bacterium. RNAcentral describes it as "partial 16S ribosomal RNA". It matches the Rfam family "Bacterial small subunit ribosomal RNA", at positions 533 to 776 of the family's 1533-position model. The record is from RNAcentral.